RNAcentral lists this ribosomal RNA (500 nucleotides) under uncultured bacterium. RNAcentral's name for it is "partial 16S ribosomal RNA". It matches the Rfam family "Bacterial small subunit ribosomal RNA", at positions 30 to 523 of the family's 1533-position model. The record is from RNAcentral.
AUUGAACGCUGGCGGAAUGCUUUACACAUGCAAGUCGAACGGCAGCACGGACUUCGGUCUGGUGGCGAGUGGCGAACGGGUGAGUAAUAUAUCGGAACGUGCCCAGUCGUGGGGGAUAACGUAGCGAAAGCUACGCUAAUACCGCAUACGAUCUACGGAUGAAAGCGGGGGAUCGGAAGACCUCGCGCGAUUGGAGCGGCCGAUAUCAGAUUAGGUAGUUGGUGAGGUAAAGGCUCACCAAGCCGACGAUCUGUAGCUGGUCUGAGAGGACGACCAGCCACACUGGGACUGAGACACGGCCCAGACUCCUACGGGAGACAGCAGUGGGGAAUUUUGGACAAUGGACGCAAGUCUGAUCCAGCCAUUCCGCGUGCAGGACGAAGGCCUUCGGGUUGUAAACUGCUUUUGUACAGAACGAAAAGGUCUCUAUUAGUACUAGGGGCUCAUGACGGUACUGUAAGAAUAGGCACCGGCUAACUACGUGCCAGCCGCCGCCGUAA